RNAcentral lists this ribosomal RNA (565 nucleotides) under uncultured Alphaproteobacteria bacterium. RNAcentral describes it as "partial 16S ribosomal RNA". Lineage: Bacteria; Pseudomonadati; Pseudomonadota; Alphaproteobacteria. The record is from RNAcentral.
GCAUCCAACGCGUUGGGAGCUCUCCCAUAUGGUCGACCUGCAGGCGGCCGCGAAUUCACUAGUGAUUCGUAUUACCGCGGCUGCUGGCACGGAGUUAGCCGGGACUUCUUCUGCGGGUACCGUCAUUAUCUUCCCCGCUGAAAGAGGUUUACAACCCGAAGGCCGUCAUCCCUCACGCGGCGUCGCUGCAUCAGGCUUGCGCCCAUUGUCCAAUAUUCCCCACUGCUGCCUCCCGUAGGAGUCUGGGCCGUGUCUCAGUCCCAGUGUGGCUGGUCGUUCUCUCAAACCAGCUAAGGAUCGUCGCCUUGGUGAGCCAUUACCUCACCAACUAGCUAAUCCUACGCGGGCCCAUCCUAUAGCGAUAAAUCUUUCCCCUUUCGGGCGUAUACGGUAUUACUCCAAGUUUCCCUGGGCUAUUCCGUACUAUAGGGAAGGUUCCCACGUGUUACUCACCCGUCUGCCACUCCCCUUGCGGGGCGUUCGACUUGCAUGUGUUAGGCCUGCCGCCAGCGUUCGUUCUGAGCCAUGAUCAAACUCUAAUCGAAUUCUCGCGGCCGCCAUGGCG